UCCAGCUUAUCGCUGGCGGUCUCCUGCGAGUGCCCAACUAAAUGAUGGCAACACAGGACAAGGGUUGCGCUCGUUGCGGGACUUAACCCAACAUCUCACGACACGAGCUGACGACAGCCAUGCGGCACCUGUGUUCCGGCCCAUUGCUGAGAGGGAUCCAUCUCUGGAAACCGUCCGGACAUGUCAAGAGCUGGUAAGGUUCUUCGCGUUGCGUCGAAUUAAACCACAUGCUCCACCGCUUGUGCGGGCCCCCGUCAAUUUCUUUGAGUUUUAAUCUUGCGACCGUACUCCCCAGGCGGCACGUUUAACGUGUUAGCUCCGGCGCAGAAGGGGUCGAAUCCUCCCACACCAAACGUGCACCGUUUACUGCCAGGACUAC
RNAcentral lists this unclassified non-coding RNA (379 nucleotides) under uncultured bacterium. RNAcentral describes it as "contains 16S-23S intergenic spacer region". The record is from RNAcentral.